Cyprinus carpio carpio is the source of this 1480-nucleotide long non-coding RNA. Lineage: Eukaryota; Metazoa; Chordata; Actinopteri; Cypriniformes; Cyprinidae. The record is from Ensembl.
AAUUUGUUUACUAAAUGCUGCUGACACUGCUGCAAAGUCUGAUAUAUUCAAAUAAUUAUUCAAAAAUAUAUAAUUUCCUUGCAGCCAGUGGACCCCCUUCCCAGUGGAGGCCCCUGGGCUUCAGCCCGUGCAUUAAUGUGCCCCUGAAGUCUUUAUUCAUUUCAGUGUUAUUUUUUUAUUUUUAUAUAUAAACCACUGUACAAAACCACACUUCAAGUGUAGAAUAUUAAAAAAUAAUUUCCAAACUUUAGUCAUAUUAACACUCACUGUACUAAAUUGACAUUCAUUUCAGACAUACACUUAAAGUCAGAAAAAGAGCAAAACCAAACACAGUUUGAGUUCCGCUGUGUUUCCUCUUAAAGUUCACAAAAGCUUGAGUUCAUUACAGUCACAUAUACAAAUAUACACACUGAUCAGACAGAUCAAUAAUAUACUGUUAUUUCACAGAAACUUGUAUAAAACAGAAAUCUGGUUUUAAACCAACAACAGAGUUAUAUAUUGAGUAGUUUGAGACACAAGAGAUAGUAGAGUAUGUAGUUUAGUGGAGUUCAAAUAAAGCUUGUGUGUUUCAUGAGCAGCACAUGAAAAGUCAAACAAAACUCAAUAGUUUUGUUUUGCUGAAUCAAUAUUAUAUCACUUGUUCAGGACAAUUAAUGUUGCCAUCAUCAUUUUUGAUGCACAGAAACAUCCUUUUCUGGAACCCAAAAGAUUGUUUUUUGCAAAUUAUUGUCAUUAAGAUGAUGAUGAGGAUGAGGAUGACAGAUAAGCCCACAACUGGAGUGAUGACAGCAUCCAUAGAUCCAUCAUUCUUUGAUCCUUUAUCUUCAAGUACAUCUGCUUUGUGUAAUGAUGACUCUGGAAGAUGAAUUUAUGUUUAAUGUUUUAUGAUAGUGUUAAAGUCAUAAACUCAACUUCAGCCUAUCAACCUGCAGACAGUCAGAUUCUCCACACAGACCUUCACAAAACACUUCUGCUCCUGAGAAUCUGAUCAAACUGAUUUCACAGGUAAAUCUACACAUCUCUAUUCUGAUUGUAAUAUCUCGAGAGAUGCAUUACUAUUUAGAAACCAUGAUCAUGCAACAGUUAGGCCAUACACAUGGCAGUAAAUUGCAGUAAUUUUUUUGAAAUAUAAACAGCAUAUGCCAUACCUGAUAUGUCCACAGUGAAUUCUGUUUGUUUCACUCCACACUUUGUUUGCACAAAGAAGCUGAAUUUUUCUGUCAUUGCUGUAGUUGUAGUGUAGCGGCAUGUGAAGCUGUUACUCUGUUCACAGGAGUCAUUAAGAAGCUCUUGUUCACAGAUGACUGAGUCAGUAGGGUAUCGAAACUUACACAUUUUAAUGGAACAAUCAGGGCACUGCAGUGAGAUGUUGCAGGUGAGAGUUACUUCUUUCCCCACAGAUCCAGUCACAUUCUUACAGCUUACACUGAUAUCUGAAAUAUAACAAUGUAUAUCAUAUAAUACAGCAACUGAACAAUAA